CCUGUUUAACAAAAACAUGUCUUUUUGAGUUAUUUUUAAAGUCUGACCUGCCCACUGAUUAAAAUUAAAUGGCCGCAGUAUUUUAACUGUGCAAAGGUAGCAUAAUCAUUAGUCUUUUAAUUGAAGGCUGGUAUGAACGGUUGGACGAGGUAUAAGCUGUUUCAUGUGAAUUUAUAAUAGAAUUUUAUAUUUUAGUUAAAAAGCUAAAAUUUAAUUAAAAGACGAGAAGACCCUAUAAAUCUUUAUAUUUUAAAUUAUUUAAGUUUUGUGGAUUUAUUUUAUUUUUAUAGUUUGGAGUAUUUUGUUGGGGUGAUGUUAAAAUUUAAUGAACUUUUAAUUAUUUAGAACCAUUAAUUUAUGAGCUAUUGAUCCAUUAAUAGUGAUUAUAAGUUUAAGUUACUUUAGGGAUAACAGCGUAAUUUUUUUGGAGAGUUCUUAUCGAUAAAAAAGUUUGCGACCUCGAUGUUGGAUUAAGAUAUAUUUUUA
Molecule: ribosomal RNA, 486 nt
Filed under: Bactrocera redunca
Lineage: Eukaryota; Metazoa; Arthropoda; Insecta; Diptera; Tephritidae
Description: partial large subunit ribosomal RNA
Rfam family: Bacterial large subunit ribosomal RNA
Source: RNAcentral